This 273-nucleotide ribosomal RNA is filed under the name uncultured bacterium. RNAcentral describes it as "partial 16S ribosomal RNA". It matches the Rfam family "Bacterial small subunit ribosomal RNA", at positions 523 to 796 of the family's 1533-position model. The record is from RNAcentral.
AUACGGAGGGUGCAAGCGUUAUGCGGAAUCACUGGGCGUAAAGGACGCGUAGGCGGGUUGGCAAGUCAGAUGUGAAAUCCUACAGCUUAACUGUAGAACUGCAUUUGAAACUGCUAACCUAGAGUAUGGGAGGGGGAGAUGGAAUUAGUGGUGUAGGGGUAAAAUCCGUAGAUAUCACUAGGAAUACCGAAAGCGAAGGCGAUCUCCUGGAACAUAACUGACGCUAAGGCGUGAAAGCGUGGGGAGCAAACAGGAUUAGAAACCCCGUAGUCC